RNAcentral lists this long non-coding RNA (1374 nucleotides) under Vigna radiata. Its description in RNAcentral is "long non-coding RNA (VRAD_LNC006600)". The record is from RNAcentral. Lineage: Eukaryota; Viridiplantae; Streptophyta; Magnoliopsida; Fabales; Fabaceae.
GGCGAAUGGCCAAGGAGAGACUAACCCGAUCAGCUGUGUCGCUGGUUGGUGAAUAAUGUGACCAAACUUCUGACAUGCUUCACAUUUCCGAACAAAGGCCUGGCAAUCUUUCUCCAUGGUUGUCCAAUAAAAUCCAGCUCUUAAAGCACGCGCUCUGAGAGACCGACCACCUCCAUGCCUUCCACAUAUCCCCUCAUGCAACUCUCUCAUUAUAUACUCCGAUUCCUCCAACGACACACACUUCAGCAUUGGCGUCACGUACCCCCUUCAAUACAAUUCCUCCCCGACCAGUACAUACCGAGCGAUCUGUUUAGCUUCAUCAGGAUGAAGAGUAUUACCGCUCUCUUGUUUCUUUAUUAACAACAGGAUGCCCCUUCUCCAGUCAUCCCGUUCCGCCAUGUGAACGAUAUGCAAACACUCAAUAGCUGGCUUGAACAGCACCUGCCUGAUGAUAGAAGUUAGUUGCCCCUUCUCCCCACUGGUCGCUAACUUCGACAACCUGUCUGCUUUAACGUUUCCUUCUCGUGCACUACAAAAAAAAACUUAUUUAGAGGGGGUUAUUUAGAGGAGGUUAUGAAAAACCCCCUCAAAUUAAUAUAUUUCAUAAUGUUUAAUUUAAAUCAUGAAGGUGUUAAUGAUAACGGGAGUUUUAAUGAUUUUUAAAGGAGGUUUAUAACCCCCUCUAUUUCAAANGAGUUUUAAUGCUUCGAGAAUGUCCUAAUUUUUUACGUUUNUGUCUCAUUGAUCCCGACACUCAUCUCCUUCUCAAAAUCUCAUUGAUCCCGACACUCAUCUCCUUCUCAAAAUCACACUUGAACCCUAAAAUCCCUUUCAUUCCUUUCUCGCUUUCUUCCUCGCAGACUACACCCUUAUUUCUUUCUCGUUUUCUUCCUGAACCCUAAACUCAUCGUCUCUUCCUCGCACUGACGGAGCUGCGGCGGAACCAUUGGUAGACGGAGCUGCGGCGGUGGUUGCGUGGNGGUGGGAAAUUCCUUGAUUAUUCCAAUAUCGCCUAGGGAUAGGGGUAGGACGGUCAAUUGUAAUUGCUUCAGAACGCAUUGCAUUAUUAGUUACUAGGGGAGGCUAGGGAUAGCAAGCCGGUAAUUAGUAAUAGGCUCUUUUCACCAAGGAAUUGGGUUAAGGGUAAUUUAGAAAGUAUGCAUGUCAAUUAGAUAAAUAAGUGAAGUAAAAUAGAAGAGUAGAUAUAUGAGAGUGGAUAAGAUGAAAUUGUAAACCCCAACAACACCAUUCAUCCAUAGUUCUCAAAAACCAAUUAAAUCAAUUGCAUUGCAUGUUUAUUUUUGUUCUUUGCAUACAACCACCAAUAUUAUUCUCUUCUCAAGUCUUACGUGAUUAGGUUACAUGAAAGUUUAG